GGGCGUUUAGCUCAGUUGGCUAGAGCAACUCGUUUACACCGAGUAGGUCGGGGGUUCGAGCCCCUCAACGCCCACCA
This is a transfer RNA of 77 nucleotides. It matches the Rfam family "tRNA". From Rfam's summary of the family: Transfer RNA (tRNA) molecules are approximately 80 nucleotides in length.